ACGGACGAGAAGCUUGCUUCUCUGAUGUUAGCGGCGGACGGGUGAGUAACACGUGGAUAACCUACCUAUAAGACUGGGAUAACUUCGGGAAACCGGAGCUAAUACCGGAUAAUAUUUUGAACCGCAUGGUUCAAAAGUGAAAGACGGUCUUGCUGUCACUUAUAGAUGGAUCCGCGCUGCAUUAGCUAGUUGGUAAGGUAACGGCUUACCAAGGCAACGAUGCAUAGCCGACCUGAGAGGGUGAUCGGCCACACUGGAACUGAGACACGGUCCAGACUCCUACGGGAGGCAGCAGUAGGGAAUCUUCCGCAAUGGGCGAAAGCCUGACGGAGCAACGCCGCGUGAGUGAUGAAGGUCUUCGGAUCGUAAAACUCUGUUAUUAGGGAAGAACAUAUGUGUAAGUAACUGUGCACAUCUUGACGGUACCUAAUCAGAAAGCCACGGCUAACUACGUGCCAGCAGCCGCGGUAAUACGUAGGUGGCAAGCGUUAUCCGGAAUUAUUGGGCGUAAAGCGCGCGUAGGCGGUUUUUUAAGUCUGAUGUGAAAGCCCACGGCUCAACCGUGGAGGGUCAUUGGAAACUGGAAAACUUGAGUGCAGAAGAGGAAAGUGGAAUUCCAUGUGUAGCGGUGAAAUGCGCAGAGAUAUGGAGGAACACCAGUGGCGAAGGCGACUUU
Molecule: ribosomal RNA, 676 nt
Filed under: uncultured Staphylococcus sp.
Lineage: Bacteria; Bacillati; Bacillota; Bacilli; Caryophanales; Staphylococcaceae
Description: bacterial SSU rRNA
Rfam family: Bacterial small subunit ribosomal RNA
Source: RNAcentral